RNAcentral lists this ribosomal RNA (252 nucleotides) under uncultured Bacteroidales bacterium. RNAcentral's name for it is "partial 16S ribosomal RNA". It matches the Rfam family "Bacterial small subunit ribosomal RNA", at positions 524 to 776 of the family's 1533-position model. Lineage: Bacteria; Pseudomonadati; Bacteroidota; Bacteroidia; Bacteroidales. The record is from RNAcentral.
UACGGAGGAUGCGAGCGUUAUCCGGAUUUAUUGGGUUUAAAGGGUGCGCAGGCGGAAUGUCAAGUCAGCGGUAAAAUUUCGGGGCUCAACCCCGUCGUGCCGUUGAAACUGGCGUUCUUGAGUGAGCGAGAAGUAUGCGGAAUGCGUGGUGUAGCGGUGAAAUGCUUAGAUAUCGCGCAGAACCCCGAUUGCGAAGGCAGCGUACCGGCUCCACACUGACGCUGAGGCACGAAAGCGUGGGUAUCGAACAGG